GCACAGUCUUGAUGAAUAGAUCUUUUCCUUGAAUAAAACAGUAUGCAUUCUAUGAAGAAGAAAUGGCAUGCAUAAGGCUGAAGUCCAGAUCUCUUGGGAGAAGAUGUGGCUGCCAGAGGAACAUGCAGUGCUGGAAAACUUGCCAGAAGGCACAAGGCUGGAGGUGGUCUGAGAGGGUUUCUGAGGUGAGUGUCCCUGGCUUUCCACAUGCUGAUUUACUGGCUGUCAUAUCCAAAGAAAAGCCACACUGAAAUAGGAAGUGGGGGCUCUCCUGCUGUUAUGGCCUUGCAGUAUCCUUCCAGGACUCUCUGUUGACAGAACCUAACACUGAGCCAGAUAGCAAAGGAGAAAUGUUUAUGGGGUCUGGCUUCAGUAUCUCAGAGCAAGAA
RNAcentral lists this long non-coding RNA (389 nucleotides) under Callithrix jacchus (white-tufted-ear marmoset). Its description in RNAcentral is "lncRNA (ENSCJAG00000077836.1)". Lineage: Eukaryota; Metazoa; Chordata; Mammalia; Primates; Cebidae. The record is from RNAcentral.